UCGAGCACGCGCGUGUGGCAUAUCAAUAAGCGGAGGAAAAGAAACUAACAAGGAUUCCCUUAGUAACGGCGAGUGAAGCGGGAAGAGCUCAAAUUUGAAAUCUUCAAGGUUUUACCUCGACGAAUUGUAGUUUAAAGAAGUGUUUUUCUGUUGGAGUUUUGGUAAAAGUUCUUUGGAAUAGGACAUCAUAGAGGGUGAGAAUCCCGUAUUUGGUCAUUCCUCCUAGCGUUGUGAUACACUUUCAACGAGUCGGAUUGUUUGGGAAUGCAGUCCAAAAUGGGUGGCAAAUUUCAUCUAAAGCUAAAUAUUGGCGAGAGACCGAUAGCGAACAAGUACCGUGAGGGAAAGAUGAAAAGAACUUUGAAAAGAGAGUUAAACAGUACGUGAAAUUGUCAAAAGGGAAGCGUUUGACACCAGUGUUGUUUUUCCGAAAAUCAAUUACGAAUGUUUUGUUUUUGAGGAGUUAUGACUUCAUCGGCUUGCUCCUUUCUUUAUGAAACUUUCUUAAUGCACUUUUCGGUUAACAAGUCAACAUCAAUUUCUUUUGUUGUAAAGAGGGUAUGAGGAAGGUGGCUUUCUUUUCGGAGAAAGUGUUUAUAGCCUUGUGCCUCUAGCAAUCGGAGAGAUUGAGGUCUGCAGCGUAGAUCCUUCGGGGUUAGAUACGUUUGUGCUAAGUUAUAGCUUUUCAUAGACAACUUGUUGACUAUGUUUAGUCUUGUAGCUUACUCGCUGACGCUAUUUUACCUACGCUUAGGAUGUUGAGUAGCGACAUACGCAC
RNAcentral lists this ribosomal RNA (778 nucleotides) under uncultured Neocallimastigales. Its description in RNAcentral is "partial large subunit ribosomal RNA". It matches the Rfam family "Eukaryotic large subunit ribosomal RNA", at positions 19 to 649 of the family's 3401-position model. Lineage: Eukaryota; Fungi; Neocallimastigomycota; Neocallimastigomycetes; Neocallimastigales. The record is from RNAcentral.